AGUUGGAUCCAGGGCCCCGUCAAUAUACUAUUCAAGGGCUAUACUGCUGAGCCAGCUGUUUUGAAGAGGUGAACAACCCUGGACCCUUCAGAUGUUUACAACCAGCGACUGUUGCCUGCAAAGAUUUUCUAUCCAGAUGAGC
Molecule: long non-coding RNA, 142 nt
Organism: Mastomys coucha (southern multimammate mouse)
Lineage: Eukaryota; Metazoa; Chordata; Mammalia; Rodentia; Muridae
Exons: 3
Source: RefSeq, a predicted model, not a curated record